This 253-nucleotide ribosomal RNA is filed under the name uncultured bacterium. RNAcentral describes it as "partial 16S ribosomal RNA". It matches the Rfam family "Bacterial small subunit ribosomal RNA", at positions 524 to 776 of the family's 1533-position model. The record is from RNAcentral.
UACAUGUGGGGCAAGCGUUGUUCGGAAUUACUGGGCGUAAAGCGCACGUAGGCGGCUUUGUAAGUUAGAGGUGAAAGCCCGGGGCUCAACUCCGGAACUGCCUUUAAGACUGCAUCGCUUGAAUCCAGGAGAGGUGAGUGGAAUUCCGAGUGUAGAGGUGAAAUUCGUAGAUAUUCGGAAGAACACCAGUGGCGAAGGCGGCUCACUGGACUGGUAUUGACGCUGAGGUGCGAAAGCGUGGGGAGCAAACAGG